RNAcentral lists this ribosomal RNA (379 nucleotides) under uncultured bacterium. RNAcentral describes it as "bacterial SSU rRNA". It matches the Rfam family "Bacterial small subunit ribosomal RNA", at positions 28 to 408 of the family's 1533-position model. The record is from RNAcentral.
GACGAACGCUGGCGGCGUGCUUAACACAUGCAAGUCGAGCGGUAAGGCCCUUUCGGGGGUACACGAGCGGCGAACGGGUGAGUAACACGUGGGUGACCUGCCCUUAGCUCUGGGAUAAGCCUGGGAAACUGGGUCUAAUACCGGAUAUGACCUCAUGACUCAUGUUGUGGGGUGGAAAGCCUUGUGCGGCUAGGGAUGGGCCCGCGGCCUAUCAGCUUGUUGGUGGGGUAAUUGCCUACCAAGGCGACGACGGGUAGCCGGCCUGAGAGGGCGACCGGCCACACUGGGACUGAGACACGGCCCAGACUCCUACGGGAGGCAGCAGUGGGGAAUCUUGCGCAAUGGGCGAAAGCCUGACGCAGCGACGCCGCGUGAGGGA